GACGAACGCUGGCGGCGUGCUUAACACAUGCAAGUCGAGCGGUAAGGCCCUUUCGGGGGUACACGAGCGGCGAACGGGUGAGUAACACGUGGGUGACCUGCCCUCAGCUCUGGGAUAAGCCUGGGAAACUGGGUCUAAUACCGGAUAUGACUCCAUGACGCAUGUUGUGGGGUGGAAAGCCUUGUGCGGCUGAGGAUGGGCCCGCGGCCUAUCAGCUUGUUGUGGGGUGANGGCCUACCAAGGCGACGACGGGUAGCCGGCCUGAGAGGGCGACCGGCCACACUGGGACUGAGACACGGCCCAGACUCCUACGGGAGGCAGCAGUGGGGAAUCUUGCGCAAUGGGCGAAAGCCUGACGCAGCGACGCCGCGUGAGGGAUGACGGCCUCGGUUGUAAC
Molecule: ribosomal RNA, 397 nt
Filed under: uncultured bacterium
Lineage: Bacteria
Description: bacterial SSU rRNA
Rfam family: Bacterial small subunit ribosomal RNA
Source: RNAcentral